Dermacentor andersoni is the source of this 1308-nucleotide long non-coding RNA. RefSeq lists it as uncharacterized. The record is from RefSeq and is a predicted model, not a curated record. Lineage: Eukaryota; Metazoa; Arthropoda; Arachnida; Ixodida; Ixodidae.
GCCAAGAAAAGUGCCAAGUAUGAAGAUGGGAAAGAUAAGAGAGAGGAGCUUGAUCAGGUUUCCUAUAGAGAACCAGUGCUUGCCAGGAGGCGCUACGAGUUUCAGUAUGCAACUAAAAUAUUCUGACACCAUCCGGUAGGGAGGAUACGAAGAUGGCACAGCAUAUUUCACGAUAACACACGCGCGCCUACAUCGACGUUUGCUUGGCCUGAUGCGGCUAGCGACGUUCUGUCCAUGGGCAUGCACGUCGAGUUGAGCGCAUGCGCUGCUACGUCCCAGCACGUCGGUUCCCCAUCAUGUGAGGAGCCGUGAAAUGUGCGUCUCGGGACGGUUGGUGAAUUUCCUGACACGAAAUUACGGUAUGUGCUAGUGAAAACUGUGUCCAUCGCUUACUAGGCUGUACGUUACGGCGCUGCUGUUGACUCGCGAAGCUUCAGCACUGGUUGCCCAUAAGGAUAACAGUAUGCCUUGAGGGGACCAGACGAUCGGCCUUUUACUGAAACAAAGGUCCUGGGAGCCUGGCCUCACUGCUUAUCAGCCCUGAAAGUCGCACGAGCUCUUCUACAGUACAUGAAGGCGACAGACUUGAGUGCCCGACUGCAGUUCGGACGGUCUUCCGAACAAGACAAGAGAAACCGAGAGGAAGAGAAACUCACCCCCGGUAACUUCACGAUGCACCAAUCUGUCAACAAGUUCAACGAAAAUGCCGAAUAUGUAUCUGCCGAAAGCGCUUUAUUUAGAGCAUUGCCGCGAACAUGCUUUGACCCCUCAGUACAGCAGGUGUUCUGGUAUGGACGCCGACCAAUUGCAGUCAACGCGUCAAGAAUCUGGGUUCUAAGUUGAAAUAUAAAUGAUCCAGAACAAAAAUAAAGCGAUGAGCGCCUCCUGACUUUUUGCUGACUCUGUAUAACGAUGCUACUACUGCCGACGUGCCACUACUGCUGCUAUCAUCAAUCCUAUCUCAACAGAUGCUCGCGCCACCGCAAAAGGCGCCCUCGUCAGGGCUCGAGUUACAUCUGCACGGUGCCUAUCGGGUGAGUGCCGGUAAUAAAAGUGCCAUCAAAAAAAGAAGGAGCGGAAGCGAUGAUUCGCCGUUAGCCACGGAAGAAGGCAAGCGAGCCUCGUAAUUGUGCCGAUGGCCAGGCAACUAUCUCGGUGACCGGCGCUGGCCCGCGAGCUUUGCUGGAAUUGCGAUGUGUAAUUGCACACCGGCCCGCACACGCAUGCCGUAAGGUACACGUGAUCCCAGCAGAGAGGCAGAAACCGAACGAAAGAGAGAGGGAUCCCUUCGAUUGCUUCCUAUCAUAA